This 468-nucleotide ribosomal RNA is filed under the name uncultured bacterium. RNAcentral's name for it is "partial 16S ribosomal RNA". It matches the Rfam family "Bacterial small subunit ribosomal RNA", at positions 28 to 507 of the family's 1533-position model. The record is from RNAcentral.
GACGAACGCUGGCGGCGUGCUUAACACAUGCAAGUCGAACGGAAAGGCCCUGCUUUUGUGCGGUGCUCGAGUGGCGAACGGGUGAGUAACACGUGAGUAACCUGCCCUUGACUUUGGGAUAACUUCAGGAAACUGGGGCAAAUAACGGAUAGGAACUCCUGCUGCAUGGUGGGGGUUGGAAAGUUUCGGCGGUUGGGGAUGGACUCGCGGCUUAUCAGCUUGUUGGUGGGGUAGUGGCUUACCAAGGCUUUGACGGGUAGCCGGCCUGAGAGGGUGACCGGGCACAUGGGGACUGAGAGACGGACCAGACUCGUACGGGAGGCAGCAGUGGGGAAUAUUGCACAGUGGGCGGAAGCCUGAUACAGAGACGCCGCGUGCGGGAUGACGGCCUUCGGGUUGUGAACCGCUUUCGCCUGUGACGAAGCGUGAGUGACGGUAAUGGGUAAAGAAGCACCGGCUAACUACGUG